AUGACUGAACAAGCCAUCAACACACUAAGCUGGAACGUUCGCGGCCUCAACUGUCCAAACCGUAGGGCCACUGUGAGCGCAACGAUCGCGUCUUCGUCGUGCCACAUCGUUUGUCUCCAGGAGACGAAGCUGACCAUCGUCGACCAAUUCACGGCCGCAUUUCUUGGGGGCAACAGACUUCGUAGUUUCACGCAGCGACCGGCAGAGGGGACCAGAGGUGGCAUCCUUAUUUUGUGGGAUGAUCACCUAGUUGAGCUGACGAAUAUCACCUACACCAUCUACUGUAUUUCGGCAAUGGUGCGGAUUAAAGAAACAGAGUUGAUUUUCAAGCUCACA
Molecule: ribosomal RNA, 336 nt
Filed under: Triticum aestivum (bread wheat)
Lineage: Eukaryota; Viridiplantae; Streptophyta; Magnoliopsida; Poales; Poaceae
Description: partial small subunit ribosomal RNA
Source: RNAcentral